Molecule: small RNA, 463 nt
Filed under: Atlantibacter hermannii NBRC 105704
Lineage: Bacteria; Pseudomonadati; Pseudomonadota; Gammaproteobacteria; Enterobacterales; Enterobacteriaceae
Description: cspA thermoregulator
Rfam family: cspA thermoregulator
Source: Rfam by way of RNAcentral
ACUGCCCAAAAAAAGAUUAACAGGGGAUUUUGGGUAUUCAUGUUGAAAAAUAAGGAUUAAAUCGCAUUCCUACCUCUUUUUGAUGAAAACUUCGCGACUUUUAUCACUUUUUCACAAACUUCGACUGGACAAAUGUCACCACAAUUGUUGUACUGAUACCCGACACAGCAUUUGUGUCGUUUUUUCAUGUAAAGGUAAUUUUGAUGUCUAAGAUUAAAGGUAACGUUAAGUGGUUUAAUGAAUCCAAAGGAUUCGGUUUCAUUACUCCGGAAGAUGGCAGCAAAGACGUGUUCGUACACUUCUCUGCGAUCCAGAGCAAUGGUUUCAAAACUCUGGCUGAAGGUCAGCGUGUAGAGUUCGAAAUCACUAACGGUGCCAAAGGCCCUUCUGCUGCUAACGUAAUCGCUAUCUGAUUCGUAGUCAUGCAAGCAUACAAAACCCGCUUAAGAGCGGGUUUUUUUUG